AGUGAACGCUGGCGGUAGGCCUAACACAUGCAAGUCGAACGGCAGCACAGUAAGAGCUUGCUCUUACGGGUGGCGAGUGGCGGACGGGUGAGGAAUACAUCGGAAUCUACUUUUUCGUGGGGGAUAACGUAGGGAAACUUACGCUAAUACCGCAUACGACCUACGGGUGAAAGCAGGGGAUCUUCGGACCUUGCGCGAUUGAAUGAGCCGAUGUCGGAUUAGCUAGUUGGCGGGGUAAAGGCCCACCAAGGCGACGAUCCGUAGCUGGUCUGAGAGGAUGAUCAGCCACACUGGAACUGAGACACGGUCCAGACUCCUACGGGAGGCAGCAGUGGGGAAUAUUGGACAAAGGGCGCAAGCCUGAUCCAGCCAUACCGCGUGGGUGAAGAAGGCCUUCGGGUUGUAAAGCCCUUUUGUUGGGAAAGAAAAGCAGCAGGUUAAUACGCCGCUGUUCUGACGGUACCCAAAGAAUAAGCACCGGCUAACUUCGUG
This 492-nucleotide ribosomal RNA is filed under the name uncultured bacterium. RNAcentral's name for it is "partial 16S ribosomal RNA". It matches the Rfam family "Bacterial small subunit ribosomal RNA", at positions 29 to 507 of the family's 1533-position model. The record is from RNAcentral.